Long non-coding RNA from Pseudophryne corroboree (corroboree frog), 877 nucleotides. RefSeq lists it as uncharacterized. Lineage: Eukaryota; Metazoa; Chordata; Amphibia; Anura; Myobatrachidae. The record is from RefSeq and is a predicted model, not a curated record. The transcript has 3 exons.
ACCAUCGGCUGGAUCUGUGAAUUCUGAGGUUACGGAGACUGUACGCUGCAGCUCCAUGAAUGAGGCCAUGAAAUUUCCCUCAGGAGACCCUGUCCCUUCACAACCAAUUCUCACCCUUACACCACUUCAUGGCUGCAGCCAUACUCGUCUGACAACUCAGGACACAUAGAGCACAUGCUCCGUAUGGGUCGUGCACAUGAGCGGUGUACCGAACAUCAGCUCAUUGUGACUCCACCCACAAUAGCGCUACACUCUAGAUCAGGCCCACUAUGCAGUACAGCCUUAUGGGGCUGGGUCACAGGAACCUCGCAGACACUGACCAGGACUCUAUGGCUGUGGGGAAAUAGGAGACUUAAUGACCACUCUAUUCCAUAUUUACUAUGUUACAUGUGCAAUAUGUUUUAUGUAUUAUAUUUAUUCCAAGGAACUCCAGCUGUGGGGAACGGACACUUUAUUACACAUCACACGUUCUGUAUUCUCUCUGAUUCACCGAGGAUGGACAAGGACAGGAGUCACAGGACUGAGAGGAUAAUAAAUAUCACCCUGGAGAUCAUCUACCUGCUGACUGGGGAGGAUUACACAAUCGUGAAGAAGACAUCCAAUGGGUGUGAGACACCCAGCAGCCAUCCCCAUGUAUCAGGAGGACUGAGAAGAACCCAGAGCCCAAUCACGGUGCCUCCACCUCACUCACUGACACAUGAGAGACACAAUGACAAGAAGAUCCUGGAACUCACCAACAAGAUCAUUCAGCUGCUGACUGGAGAGGAGGGGGAGUAUAUAGAGGAACACAGGGGUCUGUACAAGGACGUGAUGAUGGAGAAUCACCGGCCCCUCACAUCACUGGGUAAGAGGAGACUGUCAUCUAUUGUACAGGGGA